AUUGAACGCUGGCGGCAGGCCUAACACAUGCAAGUCGAACGAGUGGCGGACGGGUGAGUAAUGUAUGGGAAACUGCCUGAUGGAGGGGGAUAACUACUGGAAACGGUGGCUAAUACCGCAUACUAUCGGAUGUACCCAUAUGGGAUUAGCUAGUAGGUGGGGUAAAGGCUCACCUAGGCGACGAUCCCUAGCUGGUCUGAGAGGAUGACCAGCCACACUGGAACUGAGACACGGCCCAGACUCCUACGGGAGGCAGCAGUGGGGAAUAUUGCACAAUGGGCGCAAGCCUGAUGCAGCCAUGCCGCGUGUAUGAAGAAGGCCUUCGGGUUGUAAAGUACUUGCGGCAGGGAAGCGUUACCCACAGAAGAAGCACCGGCUAACUCCGUGCCAGCAGCCGCGGUAAUAC
RNAcentral lists this ribosomal RNA (406 nucleotides) under uncultured bacterium. RNAcentral's name for it is "partial 16S ribosomal RNA". It matches the Rfam family "Bacterial small subunit ribosomal RNA", at positions 30 to 526 of the family's 1533-position model. The record is from RNAcentral.